CCGGCGCACGGGUGAGUAACACGUAUCCAACCCGCCGUCUACUCUUGGACAGCCUUCUGAAAGGAAGAUUAAUACAAGAUGGCAUCAUGAGUCCGCAUGUUCACAUGAUUAAAGGUAUUCCGGUAGACGAUGGGGAUGCGUUCCAUUAGAUAGUAGGCGGGGUAACGGCCCACCUAGUCUUCGAUGGAUAGGGGUUCUGAGAGGAAGGUCCCCCACAUUGGAACUGAGACACGGUCCAA
RNAcentral lists this ribosomal RNA (239 nucleotides) under uncultured bacterium. RNAcentral's name for it is "partial 16S ribosomal RNA". It matches the Rfam family "Bacterial small subunit ribosomal RNA", at positions 95 to 334 of the family's 1533-position model. The record is from RNAcentral.